GAAAUGCGAUAAGUAAUGUGAAUUGCAGAAUUCAGUGAAUCAUCGAAUCUUUGAACGCACAUUGCGCCCAUUAGUAUUCUAGUGGGCAUGCCUAUUCGAGCGUCAUUUCGACCCUUAAGCCUAGUUGCUUAGUGUUGGGAAUUUACGGGCUUGCCCUGUAACUCCCGAAAGUUAGUGGCAGCGUUGCGGCAUUCUCUAAGCGUAGUAAAUUUUUUUCUCGCUUCUGUAGGUGCUGUAGCGGUCGCCAAUAUACCCAUAUGUUUUUUACGUGGUUGACCUCGGAUUAGGUAGGAGUACCCGCUGAACUUAAGC
Molecule: unclassified non-coding RNA, 312 nt
Filed under: plant metagenome
Description: partial contains 5.8S ribosomal RNA, internal transcribed spacer 2, and large subunit ribosomal RNA
Rfam family: 5.8S ribosomal RNA (bases 1-105)
Source: RNAcentral